GUCGUAGCUCAGUCGGUAGAGCGUGAGAUGCUUAAUAUCAGGGUUCUGGGUUUGAGCCCCAUGUGAGAUA
Non-coding RNA from Podarcis lilfordi (Lilford's wall lizard), 70 nucleotides. Lineage: Eukaryota; Metazoa; Chordata; Lepidosauria; Squamata; Lacertidae. The record is from the annotation of a GenBank genome assembly.